This 446-nucleotide ribosomal RNA is filed under the name Methanoplanus sp. enrichment culture clone CIBANICRA-55. RNAcentral describes it as "bacterial SSU rRNA". It matches the Rfam family "Archaeal small subunit ribosomal RNA", at positions 324 to 775 of the family's 1478-position model. The record is from RNAcentral. Lineage: Archaea; Methanobacteriati; Methanobacteriota; Methanomicrobia; Methanomicrobiales; Methanomicrobiaceae.
UACGGAGCGCGGCAGGCGCGAUGCUUUACAAUGCAGGGAACUGUGAUAAGGGAACCCCGAGUGCCCGUAUAUGCGGGCUGUCCGGAUGUUUAAAACGCAUCCGAAGAAAGGGCCGGGCAAGACCGGUGCCAGCCGCCGCGGUAAUACCGGCGGCUCGAGUGGUGGCCACUUUUAUUGGGCUUAAAGCGUUCGUAGCUUGAAUAAUAAGUCUCUUGGGAAAUCUGCAGGCUUAACCUGCAGGCGUUUAAGAGAAACUGUUGUUCUAGGAACCGGAAGAGGUGAGAGGUACUCCGGGGGUAGGAGUGAAAUCCUGUAAUCCCCGGGGGACCACCGAUGGCGAAGGCAUCUCACCAGGACGGCUUCGACAGUGAGGAACGAAAGCUGGGGGAGCGAACCGGAUUAGAUACCCGGGUAGUCCCAGCCGUAAACAAUGCGCGUUAGGUGAC